RNAcentral lists this ribosomal RNA (253 nucleotides) under uncultured prokaryote. RNAcentral's name for it is "partial 16S ribosomal RNA". It matches the Rfam family "Bacterial small subunit ribosomal RNA", at positions 524 to 776 of the family's 1533-position model. The record is from RNAcentral.
UACGUAGGGGGCAAGCGUUGUUCGGAAUUACUGGGCGUAAAGCGCGCGUAGGCGGUCUGGCAAGUCAGAUGUGAAAGCCCCGGGCUCAACUUGGGAACUGCACAGGAAACUAGCGGGCUUGAGUUCGGGAGAGGGAAGCGGAAUUCCGGGUGUAGCGGUGAAAUGCGUAGAUAUUGGGAGGAACACCGGUGGCGAAGGCGGCCCCCUGGACCGGUACUGACGCUAAAGCGCGAAAGCGUGGGUAGCAAACGGG